UGCCGAAAACCAUCGCGAAAUCGUAAAAUCCGAAACUUCCGUGUCCGCCAAGCCGACGCAUUCACGGACUUUGAGAACAGAACUCUUCCAUCGAAACUUUUGCACAGUGAACGGAUUAAUGGAUCGAAAGAGAAUGCUGAUGAGAUUGAGAAAACGUUUCAGACAGUACUUGCUAUGGAUUUUCCCACUUUGAGAGGUAACUUGUAAGGGGAAAUUUAAACUUUAAAGCCCAAUUCCCAAUUUUUUAAGAGGCGCUUCAAUCCGAAAAGUUCAACGCUUACACAGUGCUGAGUGCGUAUGUCUGGAGAGCAAUAAAGAUAAAUCGGAAGAUCAAUUGCAUCACUGAAGUUAUUAAGGAAGCUUUUACAGG
RNAcentral lists this small RNA (370 nucleotides) under Caenorhabditis elegans. RNAcentral's name for it is "Unclassified non-coding RNA Y56A3A.42". Lineage: Eukaryota; Metazoa; Nematoda; Chromadorea; Rhabditida; Rhabditidae. The record is from RNAcentral.